AUUGAACGCUGGCGGCAGGCCUAACACAUGCAAGUAGAACGAGUGGCGGACGGGUGAGUAAUGUCUGGGAAACUGCCUGAUGGCGGGGGAUAACUACGGGAAACGGUAGCUAAUACCGCAUACCAUCAGAUGUGCCCAGAUGGGAUUAGCUUGUUGGUGGGGUAACGGCUACCCAAGGCGACGAUCCCUAGCUGGUCUGAGAGGAUGCCCAGCCACACUGGAUCGUAGACACGGUCCAGACGCCUACGUGAGGCAGCAGUGGGGUAUAUUGGACAAUGGGCGCAAGCCUGAUGCAGCCAUGCCGCUUGUAUGAAGAAGGCCUUCGGGUUGUAAAGUACUUUCAGCGGGGAGGCGUGACCCGCAGAAGAAGCACCGGCUAACUCCGUGCCAGCAGCCGCGGUAAUAC
RNAcentral lists this ribosomal RNA (406 nucleotides) under uncultured bacterium. Its description in RNAcentral is "partial 16S ribosomal RNA". It matches the Rfam family "Bacterial small subunit ribosomal RNA", at positions 30 to 526 of the family's 1533-position model. The record is from RNAcentral.